RNAcentral lists this long non-coding RNA (5021 nucleotides) under Homo sapiens (human). Its description in RNAcentral is "non-protein coding LNCAROD:14". Lineage: Eukaryota; Metazoa; Chordata; Mammalia; Primates; Hominidae. The record is from RNAcentral.
GAAAAAGCAAGUGCAGGAACAGCAAGAAGCAGAGUGAGAGAGGUGGGGAGAAUUCAAGAUGAUGUUAGAGAGAUGACAGAGUCUAGGUUAGGGAGGGCCUGAGUCCUUGUAGACUCUGAGUACGGUGCUGAGCAGGGAAGAGACAGGCUCUGGCUUAGGGUUUAGAAGGAACACAGGCUACUGCGAUGAGGAUUGUCUGAAGGGGAACAAAGGCCAAGGUGGGGAGACCACUUAGAACUCUACUGCUCUACUUUAGGUGAAAUGUUAGAACUGGGUGAGCCGAAAACAUGCUCAGCAUCUGUGAGGAGGGGGCACAGAGGGAGCAAGGAUGGAUCCAGGGUUUUUAGUCUGAUCAACUGAAAGUCUGGAACAGCCAUUACUUAAAAUAAGGAAGUCUAAGGGAAGAAGAGAUUUAGGGGAGAAUAUCACGAAACUUGGUUUUAGGAUGGGUGCAUUCGAGAUGCAGAUUGCACAUCCAAGCCAAGAUGCCAAAUGUUGUUUGAAGCCGUGAGACUGAGUGAGAUCAUGGAGGAAGUGAAUGUAAAUAGAAAAGGGAAGAAGUCUGAAGACGGAGCCCUGAGACACUCCAUUGUAAACUGGAAGAUGAGGAAGAGCCAGCAAAGGAGACUGAGAAGGGGCAGCCAGUGAAGAUGGAGCCAGGGCUAGAGUAAGAGCCCCUUCUGGGAUGCUGUGACCCCCAAGUUUGAAGACUGCUGAUAACCCCAAUCUACGAAGACUAGCUAUGGAACUUCCUACACUGAGACAACUCCAGUGGAACUCUGAUAAUUAUCCUAAAAUAAGGAGGCUUCUUCAGUAGCCCUCGAAAUAUGUUCAAAUACAUGAUUACAUUUAUGUCCUUAAUAUUGCUAUUAGUUUCUGAUGUUAAUGUAAAAGUUGGGGAAAAAGUGGAAAAGUUAAAGCAGUGCAGGUUAAUUCAAUGCCAGAGUAACUUCUCAGAGGGUGUAUAUUCAGUGUGAACAAUUUUCAACAGAGAAAUGUCAACUUCUGGCCACAACGGCAACCAGUAAAAUGACUAUUUUUACUGUCUUAUCUAUUAAUGAAGAGGAGAUUGCAUAAUAUAGAUGAAGGAGCAUAGUAUUUGCAGGUGGAACGCCUAGCAGGGCUUGAGUCUCAACUCUGCUGCUUUUACUCUAAUUGACCGAGACAAGUCAUUUAAACUAAUAGAGCUUCAAUUUUCUCAUAUCUAAUGUAACAUAACAAUUCACAGCCUUUUACUUUGUAGUUAUCGUGAAGAUCUAAUCGCAGUGAAAUAUAUUUAUAUAUCUGUCUGCUGAUAGAACUUUUGUCAUAGAGGCUAGUCCAUUUUAUGUCAACGGGGCUUAAAUAAGAUCUGUGCCAGCAACUGAAUUACACUAAUGAGUGAGUAAUUACAAAAGAAGCCUGCUUUAUCAAUCUAUAUAAAGAAGAAAGUUACUGAGUAUGGAGGGGAGAUUCUCCUUUCAUAUUGGCACUCAUUCUUACUUUCCCUGAAAUAGAGAUUAUAGUAGUCUACCAGCAAUUUUCAAACUUCAAUUCUGGCCUGGAAAUUGGACAGAAGGGGUCCAAGGACAAUGAACCGAAAGUGCCAGUGAAUGUCUCAGUGCAGACUUGGAGUCAUAGUGGUUAAUUUGCAAAAUUAACUCCCUAUUCAGACUUCAGGCAGUUACAUGUCAACCAACAUCAACUUCGACCCUUAAUCUUCAGCCUCAACCUAGUAAUAAUAUCUCUGAGGUGAAUAAGCUAUGAAGUGGACAUUUCCACCUUCCUUUAUUUUAUUUUAUUUAUUUUUUUGAGAUGGAGUCUUGCUGUGUUCCCCAGGAUGGAGUGCAGUGGCACAAUCUGGGCUCACUGUAACCUCUGCCUCCUGGGUACAAGAGAUUCUCCUGCCUCAGCCUCCCGAGUAGCUGGGACUAGAGGUGUGUGCCACCACGCCUGGCUAAUUUUUUGUAUUUUUAGUAGAGACAGUGUUUCACAGUGUUAGCCAGGCUUGUCUCUAUCUCCUGACCUCUUGAUCUGCCCGCCUCGGCCUCCCAAAGUGCUGGGAUUACAGGCAUGAGCCACCACACCUGGCCCCACCUUGCUUUUUUAUUAAGACUGCUAAUAAUAAGUUACUGUGCUUUCUUAUUAUAUCCCCUUUUGGUCUCUGUUAACAAAAAAUACAGUUGUAUGUAAAUUUUAGUAUAUGACAAUGUUCAUCUCACAAUACGUACAGUGAUAAUAGUGGAAGAGGAAGGAAGGUAAAACUUUUGCUGUGAUUCCAUAAAUGAGCAACGUGGGACACCCUUGUAUGAGUCCAGUGCUUACACAAGCGCCUGAACACAGAGCUGCCAGGCUGGGUGCAUGUGUCAAACUCUGCCAAAGCCCUGAAAGCACCAGUUGUGAAAAGCUGGAAAAAGGUCUUGGCAACCAAAAUUCAUGUUGAUUUUUGUCACCUUUUUGAGCAAAUAUUCUUUGCAGAUCAAUAGUCCAUUGGUUUAAUUUUACAAAUGUUUUCUUUUGAAUUUUCUUUCCUCCCAAUGUAGUUUCAAAAAACUAGUCCAUUUAAAAAAUGAUCCUUUUUAUGGAGUGAAAGAAUACAAUACUCAGAGUGGUUCCAUGCUCAAGUUCCAAGAUGCAAAUUUUUUUAUGCAAGUCUCAUAUUCAAUUAAUAGCCCCGAGAUUAUGAAAGAUCCAUUACCUUCUCAAUUGCAGAUUCAGGUAUUGCCAACACAACACAAAGCAGCAUUAAAAUUCAUGUCAUUCUAUAAUGGUAUUUUCCAAAAUGUACUUUUUCCAAACACUUUCCAAAAUGUACUUUUUCAGGUUGCUUUAAAAAUUUUAAUAUAAAAUUUAACAAUUAAAAAUGUAUUUUAUAGUCAGAAUAGCAGGAACUCUUUGUAAGUACUGAGGGAUUAUCACUAAAUAAAAUGUAUAGCAAGUGUGCUAUAGCAGUAUUCUUCUGUAAGAGAUAUCCAGAGUUAUUGACCUGAGAGAAGGAGGAGAAAUGCAUGUAUGAAUGCAAAGAAUCCUGUUUUUCUUCAGCAGGGUACUGAAAACUAAUUCUUCUUCAUGAGGGAAGGCAAACAACCCUCUCUCUGGUCUCUUUUCUACUAUGAUUCAUUUUUUGGUCUAAGUUUUUUCCCAAACCAAGAGUAGACUCCCUCCUGAGUCUCUAUUGACUUACCUGGCUGCCAACAAAGGAAGGCUACUAGUUUCUUGGAAUUCAUAUAAUUAUAUUUCUGUGGGCACUCAUAAAGAGCCAUCAGCUCUGUCCUUGCACACCCCACUUCUAGACUUGCCUCCAGCCGGGGGUGGUAAUAACUGAAAAGAAAACAUUUCUUGACCUACUCCAGUACCUCAUAAAUCGAAAUGUAUCCCUUCAACUAACACUCAAAUUCCAUCUUAUUAAUAUAACUGCCAAACUAAAUUAAGUCCAAUUUUACUUUUUUGUUUACCUCCUAUACAAUGGAAUCAUAUUUUUUCAUAUUAAAAUUUUAGCAAAUAAUAUGUCACCUACCAUUUGCACCUCCACACGAUGCUAGAGAAUUAAGUUGGGAAAGUCAGACCUCCAAUGCUCUUGAUACAAAUAAGUCCUGACCAAAGAUUUAACCAGAAUGUUCCCUCAGUGCUGCUAAAUAAAUAUUUAUUUAUGUAUGUAUUUAUGUAAUACUUCUCCUUUGAAAAGAGAACUUGAGGUAGUCUCCAGAAAUAUACACAUACCAGUGGAAGAAAAACAGACCAAUCUGUGGAAAUUAAAGCAAGAAGAAAGAUAAGCUGGAAGAAAAUAUAUAUUGAAGCAGUAAUGUUGGUGCCUGCCAUACUGGUCUUAGCGUUCUGAUAGGUUCCUGCAUGUUGGUGGUAAUUUUGAAACAGACUAUCCUAAUAAUCCAGGCAAAUAUAGUUUGAAAGCACAAUUAGUCAUGAGACUACCCAUGUUGCUGGCCAAAAUCACACUGCUGUGAGAGACAGCACAGUUGUUCCUGUUCCUGAGAUGCAUGAGGAAUUUUUCUCAUGGUUCCUUAUGAAGUAGACACUGAGUGAUUGGUAGCUAUUAGUGGGAAGCAGGAUAUCUGGGAAGAAGAGGGAAAAAUGACAGCAUUGCACAAAUUUGAGGGAAUGGAUUCUUUGCCUUUAUCAUAUUUAAUGUAAGCUCCUAGUGAUUAAUGAGUUUGAAAUGCCUGGUCAUCUACAUAUGUGUGCCUGAUUCCAGGAGAGAUGGAGUCUGACAGUUUGUAUAGCAGCUAAGUUCAUGGGAAUGGAGUCUGCUGCCUAAGGCCCUGAGCAGCCUUUAUUGCAAAUUCUGUAGAGUAACCCGCUGUGUAGCAAACAGUCAGGAUCACUUAUUAUUAUUUACAGACUUUCCAAAGCUCUCAUCAAAUAGGAGCCCCACACUGUCAAUUUCUGGAAAUAUCAAUGCUUAAUGCUUCCCCAUUCACAAAGUAUGGGGAAGGUGUUGUCAAUCUGGGGAUAGAGGGGAGACUUGUGCCACGUUUUAGAGGAUGGCACUUUGGAACUUAGGGAUACAGAAGUCUAAUGUGAGGACAGCCAUUUGGCGGUCACCUGUCUUAUUCACAAGAGAGGAAUUAACUUCAUAGCAUCCCUAUUGUUUGAAAAGGGGACUUACUGAGUGCCAUCUAUGUGCAAGCUAAUAGGUAAACAGUAAUAUGUUUUCCAAAAGCAGAUGGAAAUUUUGAGAGUCCCAAAGCUUAUAUAAUUAAGGGCAAAGAGAAGGUUUAAGAAAUUUAUAAAUAUAAAACUAUGUAUAAGACUGCGCAUGUAGGCCAUGCAGAGGAGGUAAAGUGCAAGCUUUGGUAACUUCACAGAAAAUCUAUCUAUGAUGGUGUUCUCCUAUAAUCCUCAGAGUAACCAAUGAUCUGAGUGAAACUCUCUCCAUGUGACACAGGACAAAACUGAGAUCCAAUUUUUGUAGUUGCCAAAUUUUGCAAAUAAAAACAAUGGACUUUAAGUUAAAUUUGAAUUUCUAAUAUACAACAAAAAAAUUUUAAUAUAAAUAUGUUCUCAAUUUUUUUAUAUUAAAAAAU